AUUGAACGCUGGCGGCAGGCCUAACACAUGCAAGUCGAACGGUAGCACAGAGAGCUUGCUCUCGGGUGACGAGUGGCGGACGGGUGAGUAACGUCUGGGAAACUGCCCGAUGGAGGGGGAUAACUACUGGAAACGGUAGCUAAUACCGCAUAACGUCGCAAGACCAAAGUGGGGGACCUUCGGGCCUCACACCAUCGGAUGUGCCCAGAUGGGAUUAGCUAGUAGGUGGGGUAAUGGCUCACCUCGGCGACGAUCCCUAGCUGGUCUGAGAGGAUGACCAGACACACUGGAACUGAGACACGGUCCAGACUCCUACGGGAGGCAGCAGUGGGGAAUAUUGCACAAUGGGCGCAAGCCUGAUGCAGCCAUGCCGCGUGUAUGAAGAAGGCCUUCGGGUUGUAAAGUACUUUCAGCGGGGAGGAAGGCGGUGAAGUUAAUAGCUUCACCGAUUGACGUUACCCGCAGAAGAAGCACCGGCUAACUCCGUGCCAGCAGCCGCAGUAA
This 504-nucleotide ribosomal RNA is filed under the name uncultured bacterium. RNAcentral describes it as "partial 16S ribosomal RNA". It matches the Rfam family "Bacterial small subunit ribosomal RNA", at positions 30 to 523 of the family's 1533-position model. The record is from RNAcentral.